Molecule: ribosomal RNA, 524 nt
Filed under: uncultured bacterium
Lineage: Bacteria
Description: partial 16S ribosomal RNA
Rfam family: Bacterial small subunit ribosomal RNA
Source: RNAcentral
GACGAACGCUGGCGGCGUGCCUAAUACAUGCAAGUCGAGCGCAGGAAACUGACGGAACUCUUCGGAGGGAAGGCAGUGGAAUGAGCGGCGGACGGGUGAGUAACACGUAAGGAACCUGCCUCAAGGAUUGGGAUAACUCCGAGAAAUCGGAGCUAAUACCGGAUAGUUCAACGGACCGCAUGGUCCGCUGAUGAAAGGCGCUCCGGCGUCACCUUGAGAUGGCCUUGCGGUGCAUUAGCUAGUUGGUGGGGUAACGGCUCACCAAGGCGACGAUGCAUAGCCGACCCGAGAGGGUGAUCGGCCACACUGGGACUGAGACACGGCCCAGACUCCUACGGGAGGCAGCAGUAGGGAAUCUUCCACAAUGGACGAAAGUCUGAUGGAGCAACGCCGCGUGAGUGAUGAAGGUUUUCGGAUCGUAAAACUCUGUUGUGAGGGAAGAACACGUACGAGAGGAAAUGCUCGUACCUUGACGGUGCCUUACGAGAAAGCCACGGCUAACUACGUGCCAGCCGCCGCUGUAA